RNAcentral lists this non-coding RNA (91 nucleotides) under chicken gut metagenome. RNAcentral's name for it is "THF riboswitch". It matches the Rfam family "THF (Tetrahydrofolate) riboswitch aptamer". Rfam says of the family: THF riboswitch presents a pseudoknot that joins P1-P2 and the loop of P3 and two THF binding. The record is from RNAcentral.
CAGAGUAGGUCCGGGCGCGUUAAGUGCCGCGGGAUGGGAAGUUGCCCGCGGACGAAGGCGAAGGCCGCGGUGCCCGGACCGCGUCCGCUGC